Oncorhynchus keta (chum salmon) is the source of this 76-nucleotide non-coding RNA. NCBI's taxonomy places the organism in Eukaryota, Metazoa, Chordata, Actinopteri, Salmoniformes, Salmonidae. The record is from the annotation of a RefSeq genome assembly.
GGUCCCGUGUGGCUCAGUUGGUAGAGCAUGGUGUUUGCAACGCCACAGACGUGGGUUCAAUUCCCACAGGGGACCA